AGGUAAGCUACUAAGAGCGAAUGGUGGAUGCCUUGACUGGUAAAGGCGAUGAAGGACGUACUAGACUGCGAUAAGCUACGGGGAGCUGUCAAGAAGCUUUGAUCCGUAGAUUUCCGAAUGGGGCAACCCAAUGUAUAGAGAUAUACAUUACCUAUAUAGGAGCGAACGAGGGGAAUUGAAACAUCUUAGUACCCUCAGGAAAAGAAAUCAAUAGAGAUUGCGUCAGUAGCGGCGAGCGAAAGCGCAAGAGGGCAAACCCAGUGCUUGCACUGGGGGUUGUAGGACUGCAAUGUGCAAGAGGUGAGUUUAGCAGAACAUUCUGGAAAGUAUAGCCAUAGAGGGUGAUAGUCCCGUAUGCGAAAAACAAACCUUAGCUAGCAGUAUCCUGAGUAGGGCGGGACACGAGAAAUCCUGUCUGAAGCUGGGUCGACCACGAUCCAACCCUAAAUACUAAUACCAGAUCGAUAGUGCACAAGUACCGUGAGGGAAAGGUGAAAAGAACUGAGGUGAUCAGAGUGAAAUAGAACCUGAAACCAUUUGCUUACAAUCAUUCAGAGCCCUAUGUAGCAAUACAGGGUGAUGGACUGCCUUUUGCAUAAUGAGCCUGCGAGUUGUGGUGUCUGGCAAGGUUAAGCAAACGCGAAGCCGUAGCGAAAGCGAGUCUGAAUAGGGCGCUUAGUCAGAUGCUGCAGACCCGAAACGAAGUGAUCUAUCCAUGAGCAAGUUGAAGCUAGUGUAAGAACUAGUGGAGGACUGAACCCAUAGGCGUUGAAAAGCCCCGGGAUGACUUGUGGAUAGGGGUGAAAGGCCAAUCAAACUUCGUGAUAGCUGGUUCUCUCCGAAAUAUAUUUAGGUAUAGCGUUGUGUCGUAAUAUAAGGGGGUAGAGCACUGAAUGGGCUAGGGCAUACACCAAUGUACCAAACCCUAUCAAACUCCGAAUACCUUAUAUGUAAUCACAGCAGUCAGGCGGCGAGUGAUAAAAUCCGUCGUCAAGAGGGAAACAACCCAGACUACCAGCUAAGGUCCCUAAAUCUUACUUAAGUGGAAAACGAUGUGAAGUUACUUAAACAACCAGGAGGUUGGCUUAGAAGCAGCCAUCCUUUAAAGAAAGCGUAAUAGCUCACUGGUCUAGUGAUUUUGCGCGGAAAAUAUAACGGGGCUAAAGUAAGUACCGAAGCUGUAGACUUGCGCACAACUUAGAUUAUUUAAGUUUAGAAUAUGAGAAACUAAGUUAUAUGUUUAGUUAUAUUUUUACUGAUUUUUAUAGAGUAAAGAUAGAAAUAAAACUUAGUAAAAUCAGUAAAAAUAUUCUUAGACUAAAGUUAAGUAGUUUAAGUUGUGUGCAAGUGGUAGGAGAGCGUUCUAUUUGCGUCGAAGGUAUACCGGUAAGGAGUGCUGGAGCGAAUAGAAGUGAGCAUGCAGGCAUGAGUAGCGAUAAUUAAUGUGAGAAUCAUUAACGCCGUAAACCCAAGGUUUCCUACGCGAUGCUCGUCAUCGUAGGGUUAGUCGGGUCCUAAGUCGAGUCCGAAAGGGGUAGACGAUGGCAAAUUGGUUAAUAUUCCAAUACCAACAUUAG
Molecule: ribosomal RNA, 1577 nt
Filed under: Campylobacter coli
Lineage: Bacteria; Pseudomonadati; Campylobacterota; Epsilonproteobacteria; Campylobacterales; Campylobacteraceae
Description: partial 23S ribosomal RNA
Rfam family: Bacterial large subunit ribosomal RNA
Source: RNAcentral